AACGCAUAUUGCGCCCAUUAGUAUUCUAGUGGGCAUGCCUGUUCGAGCGUCAUUGCAACCCUCAAGCUUUUUCGGCUUGGUUCUGGGGCGUAUCUACAAAGUCUCCUUGGCCUUAAUUGGCCUAUCAAGGUGUUGUAGGCCCUGAAAAUUAGUGGCGGGCUCGCCGAGACCCCGAGCGCAGUAAUUUCUCUCGCUUACGGGCCGUCGCGGAGGGUUUUCCAGCCGUAAAACACCCCAAAAUACGUACUAGAUUGACCUCGGAUCAGGUAGGGAUACCCGCUGAACUUAA
RNAcentral lists this unclassified non-coding RNA (289 nucleotides) under uncultured fungus. RNAcentral describes it as "sequence contains ITS2". Lineage: Eukaryota; Fungi. The record is from RNAcentral.